Molecule: long non-coding RNA, 1016 nt
Filed under: Sarcophilus harrisii (Tasmanian devil)
Lineage: Eukaryota; Metazoa; Chordata; Mammalia; Dasyuromorphia; Dasyuridae
Description: lncRNA (ENSSHAG00000024981.1)
Source: RNAcentral
CGCAGAAGGGGCGGGACGGGAUUGCCGCCCAAACCCGGGGCCCGGGAGCGUCGCGAGGGGCUCGUGCCAGCUCUCACCGCCCCGCUCCCCCACCAGGAGGCCCCGGGCGACGCCCCCGCACCGCCUGGACCAGGAACUCUGCUUCUGGGGAGUGCGAGGGCCCCCUCCCCCCGAGCCGGCCGCCCGCCGCAGCCUGGGCGACUUCUGGCUGAGCCCCCAGCGCCGCUGGCCGCCGGGGGCCUCGUGGCGCUGGCCCAGCCGCCGCCUGCUGCUCUUGCCCCCGGCUACCGGGCUGGGCGACGUGCCCUCGGCGCGCUGGCCGGGCUGCUUCUCCGCGCGCCCCAACCUCGUGUGGAAGCACCGCUGGCAGAGUCUCAAUCACGAAUUUCUGGGCAGAAGGAUGAGACGCCUGAUGCCCCUGUACCUGUGACGCCCGAGGGCAGGAUUAAGAAGAUUGAAGCCUCCUAUCAAGAGUCUCCCCAUCUCUCCUUCUCCAUGUCUCCAGUUCUCUCUACAACUGCGUCUUCUCCUUUGCCCUUGCCACAGGACAAGGUGACUGUCCUUUGAUCCCACCCCCCUUUUUCUCCUCUGGGAGUCUGUCCUGUCAGCCAUUUCUCCCUUUCUCACAUUGUUCCCCCUCUAGAAUGGAAGCUCCUGAAGGGCAGGAACUGUUUCAAUUUUGUCUUUAUGUCUCCAGUGCCUGGCUCCGGGUGGGUAUUCAAUAAAGAUUUGUUGAUUGAUUGAAUUUUUUUAUUUAUUGACUCUUUCCUUAAUGCUUACAAACUGGUCUCCUUUCUCUUUAAAGAUCCUCCACCACCGUGUUUUUUCAAACAAUCAUCCUAUUUUGUAGAGCAUACAUUUUCAGCUAGAGGUCAUCCAAUCUAGUCCAUUCUCAGAGCUCUUGCCCAAAGGCCACACAAGUAUCAAGUGGCAGAAUUAGGUUCUGAACCCAGGUCCUCUGACUCAAUCUUUCUGCUGUCCCAAGCUUCUUUCCCUCCUCACUUUCACAGCUAAUC